CCUACGGGAGGCAGCAGUGGGGAAUAUUGCACAAUGGGGGAAACCCUGAUGCAGCGACGCCGCGUGAGUGAAGAAGUAAUUCGUUAUGUAAAGCUCUAUCAGCAGGGAAGAAAAUGACGGUACCUGAGUAAGAAGCCCCGGCGAACUACGAGCCAGCAGCCGCGGUAAUACGUAGGGGGCAAGCGUUAUCCGGAUUUACUGGGUGUAAAGGGAGCGUAGACGGCAGUGCAAGUCUGGAGUGAAAGCCCGGGGCCCAACCCCGGGACUGCUCUUGGAACUGCGCGGCUGGAGUGCCGGAGAGGUAGGCGGAAUUCCUAGUGUAGCGGUGAAAUGCGUCGAUAUUAGGAGGAACACCAGUGGCGAAGGCGGCCUACUGGACGGUGCCUGACGCUGAGGCUCGAAAGCGUGGGGAGCAAACAGGAUUAGAUACCCCUGUAGUC
Molecule: ribosomal RNA, 440 nt
Filed under: uncultured bacterium
Lineage: Bacteria
Description: partial 16S ribosomal RNA
Rfam family: Bacterial small subunit ribosomal RNA
Source: RNAcentral